Molecule: long non-coding RNA, 1899 nt
Organism: Talpa occidentalis (Iberian mole)
Lineage: Eukaryota; Metazoa; Chordata; Mammalia; Eulipotyphla; Talpidae
Exons: 4
Source: RefSeq, a predicted model, not a curated record
UUCUGAGAAUCAGAGAGUAAAUGGUGGUUCCCAUUCUACUGGUAAGAGGAAGAAACUGAGUUGCUAAUCAACAGGCAUAAAGUCUCUUUUUAUGUAAGAUGAGUAAGUUCUAGAGCUCUGUUGCUACAACUGACAGAAUUUAGUAACUGGAUUCUGGAAAAAGCAGGAUAAAGAAUAAUGCUUUAGUUACUGCUCAGAUAACUAGGUAAGGAAUAAGAGUUUGAAGCUGCUUGGAAGCAAUGACAUUUGUGAAGUCCUGAACAAGAAGAGAGAUUUCCAUACACAAAGAAAGAGAGCAGGUGGAGCGUCUGGGAAAGUGAAGAACAUACCUAAACAGUAUAGAAGCAUGAAGUGAAAAGUUCCAGGGCUGUCAAACAAUCCAGAGUAGUAGCUUUAGUUUGUAUGGGAGAGAAAAUGUGCAAGGAAGAAACUUACACUAAUAUUCCAGUGCCAGGUCUUGGAGAGUCUUGAAUACCAGGCUAGAUUUUUAUAGCUUUCUCUGCCAGGUGUGGAACAUAAUGAUGUUUGUAUACAUUGUGAUGAUCAUCACCAGAUGACUUGUCACUGAAAAGCUACACAUCCUCUUAAGAUGGGGCACCCACAGUUGUACUACCAGGAUAGGCCAACACAGAAUGUGGCCCUCCAACUUGCACAGAUUUCCAAAAGGAGAUAUUUUGUCAUCUAAAAACAACUAUCAAGGUUCCAGAGACAUGAUUGGUCAGGAACUGAGCCAACUGGCAAAGUAUCUGACAAAACCCAACUGCUGGAGAUUCUCAAGUUACAGGAGACAAGGUCUUCUUGGAUAUGCUCACCGACCUGCAUGCAGUAAAAUCAAAAUAGAAUCUGCAGGCACUGUCAGGGUGAUAUGACAUGCAUCCAGAUAUUUUUUCCCCUUUUAUUUUUAGGCUGAAAGUUUAGUCCUCUUUUUUUUUUUUUUGGCAGUUUUUAGAGCCAUGUGACUGGCACAAUUCUGGCAAGUGCUAUAAAUGCAAAGAGAUUGUGCCUAAGGGAAAACUGCCAUCAUGUAACACUAGGACUAAAUAUUUGUACUCUUUCUUGGGGCUUUUAAAGGUGGGUGCCAUUUCUUAGAGUUAAGAAACUGCUUUAAUUAUUGAGACAUAAAAUCGAGGGAAAAACACAGUUUUAAUGGAAUUUGUAUUUAAACACAACAGGAAUGCACAGUAACAUUCACUAGCAUUAAAGAGAGGUGGGUAUUAUUAAUUUUGUUCCACUUAGAUUCAGUUAUAUUCAGUUUAACAAAUGCUACAAGUACAAUGUAAAUUGCAUUUCUUCUUAAGUAGAAAUACUAUCCUAUGAUGAAACUAGAGAUUGAGAAGUAAAACAUUUAAUUCAUUCAUUAUUUUAGUUAUUCAUUAAUUCAACAAAUAUUUGUUGAGCAUGGAACCUGGAACUAAAGUUGAGGUAUAGAUCAGGUAGCUGCCACCUAAAAGCUCUAUGCUUUUACUUUUUAUCAUUAAUAGUAUUACACCACAAUUAGGCAAUUUUAUAGAUACUUGGAAGACAGCAGGAACACUGUCUCAUGGAGCUUGAAAUCAAGAUAGUUCUGUUUCCUCUUUUGUGGUUGAACUACUAGCUAACAUUCAUGUGGCUAUUAAUCAACCUGCUACGUUAUCCCUUUGUCUUCUCUAUUUAUCAUCUUAUUUGUUACUAUGGACUGUGAAUCCAGUUGAGCAAGCUAAUUAAAAAUAUGUCUAAAGCGAAAAUCAACAAACUUAAAUUGAGAAUAUUGGAGGUGCUGCAGGACCUCAGAAGAGACAUGGUGCUUAUUCUUUCAGGAGCUGAGUUGACAAGAAACAGGUAGGAAACAAUUAGGUAUUGAUAUGAGAUCAUUUCUUGGGCUCAAAAUAAAACACCUUGAAACCUGUAGGCAGUGUUAAA